AACGAACGCUGGCGGCAUGCCUAACACAUGCAAGUCGAACGAGACCUUCGGGUCUAGUGGCGCACGGGUGCGUAACGCGUGGGAACCUGCCCUUAGGUUCGGAAUAACUCCCCGAAAGGGGUGCUAAUACCGGAUAAUGUCUUCGGACCAAAGAUUUAUCGCCUUUGGAUGGGCCCGCGUUGGAUUAGCUAGUUGGUAGGGUAAAAGCCUACCAAGGCGACGAUCCAUAGCUGGUCUGAGAGGAUGAUCAGCCGCACUGGGACUGAGACACGGCCCAGACUCCUCCGGGGGGCAGCAGUGGGGAAUUUUGGACAAUGGGCGAAAGCCUGACCCAGCAAGGCCGGGUGAGUGAUGAAGGCCUUAGGUUUGUAAAGCUCUUUUACCCGGGAUGAUAAUGACAGUACCGGGAGAAUAAGCCCCGGCUAACCCCGU
This 432-nucleotide ribosomal RNA is filed under the name uncultured bacterium. RNAcentral's name for it is "partial 16S ribosomal RNA". It matches the Rfam family "Bacterial small subunit ribosomal RNA", at positions 29 to 506 of the family's 1533-position model. The record is from RNAcentral.